Non-coding RNA from Peromyscus maniculatus bairdii (prairie deer mouse), 1000 nucleotides. The record is from RefSeq and is a predicted model, not a curated record. NCBI's taxonomy places the organism in Eukaryota, Metazoa, Chordata, Mammalia, Rodentia, Cricetidae.
ACGAUCCCGUGUUUUCCUAGCUGUUUGUUCUUUCCCCAAAGGCCCUAGGAUCACAGGGAGGCAUCCAAGAACAAUACCGGGGAGCUGGCUCUGCAGUUACAGCAGCAAGGCAGGGGUUCCCGCUGAAGGAGGAAGGGACGAGAGGGGCCAUCGGCUGCCAGCUGGCCGCUUAGGGACAACUGUGGCAGCAGGCUUUGUCCCUGGACCUCGGAACCUCAGGGAGGGGAGGUCCUGCUGGGCAGUUGAGGAUUCCUGCGGGGUGACUGGGCACUGGCAGCUUCUCUGGGCUCAUGUUCCAGUCAACACUCACAUGGUCAGCCUCUCUCCCUUUCUGAAAAGUUUAGAUUUCUAAGGCAAACAGCAAGGCCCCAAGGACGGGAUGAUCUGCUCAUAGGAGGACAGAGCCCUGUCCAGCAAAGAGGCAUGAUCUGCAAUUGGGAAUUGGGGCUCUUUGGAACUCACUCUGAGAAGUGUAGGUCUAGACCACAGACCUUGCUUGCAGAUGGAGAGAGAGGGCCAAUUACACCACAGACCCUUCUCCUAAGAAGUGACCGGAGAGCAGAAGAGCGGCCUCCUGUGUGGAUAUGGGAACAGAAAGGUGUGGCUGCUGUCGCCAAAGGCUAAGGGACUCACUGGAGCACUCUUGCCAAACGAUUGACGGCCUUCCCCUGGCACCUGUACCCCGAAUGGGACAGACCUCAUUAUGUCCCAUUAUGUCCUCUGCAGGCUCGUGGGUUGAGGGUUCGACCCCUAGUUUUGAAGACUGUGGGACCAUUACCGGUAGGGACCAGCCGACAGCUGUCGGGCACUAGGGCUAGGCUGUUGAAGGCAUCCCCGCCCCAUUUCAGGCAGUUCUCUCUGCUUCCCAUCCAUCUCGUCAUACACAGCUUUCAUCUAACACUCCUGUCACCACAGAAGCUGCCUCAGCCACCUUACCUUCCCCCUGGAAUGGACUGAAGUCCCCCAACACUGUGAGCCCGAAUAAACCCUCUUGCCCGGA